CCUACGGGUGGCUGCAGUGAGGAAUAUUGGUCAAUGGACGCAAGUCUGAACCAGCCAUGCCGCGUGCAGGAAGACGGCUCUAUGAGUUGUAAACUGCUUUUGUACGAGGGUAAACGCAGAUACGCGUAUCUGUCUGAAAGUAUCGUACGAAUAAGGAUCGGCUAACUCCGUGCCAGCAGCCGCGGUAAUACGGAGGAUUCAAGCGUUAUCCGGAUUUAUUGGGUUUAAAGGGUGCGUAGGCGGUCGGAUAAGUUAGAGGUGAAAUCCCGAGGCUCAACUUCGGAAUUGCCUCUGAUACUGUGCGGCUAGAGAGUAGUUGCGGUAGGCGGAAUGUAUGGUGUAGCGGUGAAAUGCUUAGAGAUCAUACAGAACACCGAUUGCGAAGGCAGCUUACCAAGCUACUUCUGACGUUGAGGCACGAAAGCGUGGGGAGCGAACAGGAUUAGAUACCCCAGUAGUC
RNAcentral lists this ribosomal RNA (460 nucleotides) under uncultured bacterium. Its description in RNAcentral is "partial 16S ribosomal RNA". It matches the Rfam family "Bacterial small subunit ribosomal RNA", at positions 338 to 795 of the family's 1533-position model. The record is from RNAcentral.